Molecule: regulatory RNA element, 35 nt
Organism: Loxodonta africana (African savanna elephant)
Lineage: Eukaryota; Metazoa; Chordata; Mammalia; Proboscidea; Elephantidae
Rfam family: Iron response element I
Source: Rfam
CUAUCUCUUGCUUCAACAUUGUUUGGAUAGAAUAG